RNAcentral lists this ribosomal RNA (522 nucleotides) under uncultured bacterium. RNAcentral describes it as "partial 16S ribosomal RNA". It matches the Rfam family "Bacterial small subunit ribosomal RNA", at positions 355 to 895 of the family's 1533-position model. The record is from RNAcentral.
UGGGGAAUAUUGGACAAUGGGCGCAAGCCUGAUCCAGCAAUGCCGCGUGAGUGAUGAAGGCCUUAGGGUUGUAAAGCUCUUUCGCACGCGACGAUGAUGACGGUAGCGUGAGAAGAAGCCCCGGCUAACUUCGUGCCAGCAGCCGCGGUAAUACGAAGGGGGCUAGCGUUGUUCGGAAUUACUGGGCGUAAAGGGCGCGUAGGCGGCCUGUUUAGUCAGAAGUGAAAGCCCCGGGCUCAACCUGGGAAUAGCUUUUGAUACUGGCAGGCUUGAGUUCCGGAGAGGAUGGUGGAAUUCCCAGUGUAGAGGUGAAAUUCGUAGAUAUUGGGAAGAACACCGGUGGCGAAGGCGGCCAUCUGGACGGACACUGACGCUGAGGCGCGAAAGCGUGGGGAGUAAACAGGAUUAGAUACCCUGGUAGUCCACGCCGUAAACGAUGAAUGCUAGACGUCGGGGUGCAUGCACUUCGGUGUCGCCGCUAACGCAUUAAGCAUUCCGCCUGGGGAGUACGGCCGCAAGGUU